Molecule: ribosomal RNA, 497 nt
Filed under: uncultured bacterium
Lineage: Bacteria
Description: partial 16S ribosomal RNA
Rfam family: Bacterial small subunit ribosomal RNA
Source: RNAcentral
GAUGAACGCUGGCGGCGUGCCUAAUACAUGCAAGUCGAGCGAACACACAGUGAGCUCGUGCCCCUGCGGGUAGCGGCGGACGGGUGGGUAACGCGUACAUAACCUACCUCUAAGUCGUGGAUAACAACGGGAAACAGGUGCUAAUAAUACAUAAUAUAAUGAACCGCUGGGUGCAUUAGUUAAUGGCGCCUUUGGCGUUUCUUUUAGCUGGUUCCGCGCCGCAUUAGCUAGUUGGUAAGGUAACGGCUUACCAAGGCAACGAUGCGUAGCCGACCUGAGAGGGUGAUCAGCCACACUGGAACUGAGACACGGUCCAGACUCCUACGGGAGGCAGCAGUAGGGAAUAUUGCGCAAUGGGCGCAAGCCUGACGCAGCAACACCGCGUGAGUGAUGAAGGUCUUCGGAUUGUAAAGCUCUGUUGUUGGGAAAGAACAACUGUAUAUGUAUCUAUGGACGUCCUGACGGUACCUAAAGAAUAAGCACCGGCUAACUACGUG